UGAACCUCACCAAACCAAGACCAUCAGGGACGAUUAGCAGCAGGCAGAUCUGAAUCGUAGAUGCAGUCGACUACAUAACAAGUCAGACGUCUGUUUCACGCCGCAGUCAGUUUGAUGAGCUUUUCUGAAGGGAGGAACUUGACCUUGUGACAGCAGGACACCCAGUGAUCCCUGCUGGCCUCGGUCUCAUUUGCAUCGCUAGUGAAGGUAGUUAGUGUUCAACCUGAACCUCCCCUUUGUGGAAAAGAAAGCAAAGAUAGCAGGGUGGAUUUCAAUAAUUCAAAAUGAACACUUGUAAUUUUGAGGGCUGCCACACUUUCUGUAUCGCUGACAGCACUCGGUGUCACUUUCUCCCUGGUGAAAGCUUCUUUAUAUCACUUAAUAUCUGGUGGCUUUGUUUCCAGGGUUCGUGCAGUGUGUGGAUAUCAGCAUAUUCUUGGGAUUAUCUGCGUGGAGGAUGAUCCUAAUUCAUCUGACCUACAAAAAAAGAUCGCCUGUGCAGAGGAACACAGUUAUAUGAGCCCAUUCGUGUGUCACAGGUGCCCGAUCAGUAAAUGUUUCGACCUUAUUCCAUGUGCGAUCGGGGCGGUAAAUAAAAGCCACUGAUUUAUCCGUUUCUUCUUUUGCGGUCAAACUCAAAUAAAGAUUAUUGCGACACUAUUUUUAAGACCCGAGAUGAUGUUUUUCGUCUGAUUACUGGAACGUUCCGUUCAGUUACAGAGAUUUUCCAUGAGCCCACACAGUAACAGUCAAAACAUCCCCAACUGUCUCUGGUACGAUUCCUUUCAUUAUCAUACCUGAAAGAAAGAAAGAACUCCAAUUCAUCUUAAUCUCACACUAACUACAGCAGCAGGUCCUGAGCGUGAUGAUUUGCAGUAUUCCAACCAAGAUAUCUGCGUGGAAACCCGCUCAGUGUCACGUUCCCAUUUGCAUGAGCAGAGAGGACAUCAGAUCCGUGUGUUGACGUUGGGCUCGUUCGCUGAUGUUUGCCGGUGAGGUUGCACGGGACGGAGGCGACCGCGGUCAUACUCGAAGGAGUCGGUUCUCUUCUGUAUUUUCAGGACAGAAACACUGAACAAUUGAAUGAAACUGAUGUAAAUCAUAUGCUUUGGCCUUUGAACACACAUGGGAGACUUUGAUCAUCAUGCUGGACAUCUCUCUUCACCGCUUUCAUCAAAACACCAAAUGAAGAAAUGUUGUUUUUUUUUGAAGAACUGUGCUCCAUUUUUCCCCAAACACUUACUAAGGUGCUUUAUGCUGUUUUCCCCUUUAAUUUCUCACCUGUCUGUAUCGAUAAAGUCAAAGUAAUGACUACCACUGAGGUAAACAACGGGAACGACUGUUGAAUUGAACCCAAUAACAACAACACUAAAAGGCUUUCACCUUAGAUUUAUGAAGAAGAUGUAAAAGGUUAAUGAAACUUUGUAGUUCACUGUGAUUCUGUUUUAUAUCGGUGUAAUCAUUAGCGUCCCUUCAGCGUGGUAAACGUAUUGUGUCUUCACUUACAAAGCGCUCCAGUUGUAUGGCACAUUUACCCAAAUGAUAAGUGUCUGCAUAUCUCGGCUCUUUAAACACUCAUCUGACAGAGAAUAUCUAGACAUUAAAGCCUCCGUUUCAGCUGCUUGUCCUAUUCAUGAUGCAAAGAACACCACAGUUAUUUUAUAUGGUUGUUUUUAAGGUGACAAACAUGCAUGCUUUAUAAUGCACUGGUCAGUUUUUAGGUCAAGUUAAUUGUUCAGACAGUCACGCAAAUGUUUGUAUAUUUAAAGGAAAGAUGUAAUUUGAACAUGUAAACAUACAAUUUCAGAGAACUGUUGGUCAGGUUACAGGAUGAUAUACA
Acanthochromis polyacanthus (spiny chromis) is the source of this 1840-nucleotide long non-coding RNA. RefSeq lists it as uncharacterized. The transcript has 3 exons. The record is from RefSeq and is a predicted model, not a curated record. NCBI's taxonomy places the organism in Eukaryota, Metazoa, Chordata, Actinopteri, Pomacentridae.